GAGACUUUGAGUGAAUGAUUUCAAAGGUGAAAAAAUGACUGUUGCAGUAUUUCUUCUUUGAGGACUCUGAGGAUAGAUGAUUCCUCCAGGAAUUAUGCAAAAAAAGUUUGAAGAAUUUUAUUGAUUUUUAUAUAAAAAGUUUUCGGUGAACACCUGGAGAAAGAAGGAUGGAAAAACAUAUUUUGAAAGUGAAAUCAGGGGAAAACAAAAAUCUGUCCUGUGUUAGAAAGGUCGCAUCUUCCUGAACAAGCAAGACAAUUUUUAUGUAAAUGGAGUCUGGAAAGUAUGACAAAAUAAACCUAAAAAAAAAUUGGGUGUGACUUUUUCUCAUUUAAACAAGGGCUUUGUAGUUUUGUACAACGAAAUCUACAUGAAACUAACUAUUAAUAAAUGUCCAGGCUGAUUAAAUUGCCUAUGACUUUCAGCUCUGACCAAAUGUUAUUACUGUUCUGUUUAUUCUAAUAAAAAGCAUUUCAAAGAGUGAUUGACAUAAAGAUACUUAGAUCUGAUCCAUUAUAUAACAUUGUAAAAAUUAAUGUAUAUAAUAAUCUUUGCUGUGAG
Lagopus muta (rock ptarmigan) is the source of this 561-nucleotide long non-coding RNA. RefSeq lists it as uncharacterized. The transcript is spliced from 3 exons. Lineage: Eukaryota; Metazoa; Chordata; Aves; Galliformes; Phasianidae. The record is from RefSeq and is a predicted model, not a curated record.